GCAGCCGUGGGCGGGUUUUUAAGGCGAUGGACUAGAAAUCUAUGGGGUACUCGCCGCACAGGUUCGAAUCCUGUCGACAGCG
This 82-nucleotide transfer RNA is filed under the name Ixodes scapularis (black-legged tick). It matches the Rfam family "tRNA". From Rfam's summary of the family: Transfer RNA (tRNA) molecules are approximately 80 nucleotides in length. Their secondary structure includes four short double-helical elements and three loops (D, anti-codon, and T loops). Lineage: Eukaryota; Metazoa; Arthropoda; Arachnida; Ixodida; Ixodidae. The record is from Rfam by way of RNAcentral.